Molecule: ribosomal RNA, 253 nt
Filed under: uncultured bacterium
Lineage: Bacteria
Description: partial 16S ribosomal RNA
Rfam family: Bacterial small subunit ribosomal RNA
Source: RNAcentral
UACAGAGGAUGCAAGCGUUAUCCGGAAUGAUUGGGCGUAAAGCGUCUGUAGGUGGCUUCUUAAGUCCGCCGUCAAAUCCCAGGGCUCAACUCUGGACAGGCGGUGGAAACUACCAAGCUGGAGUACGGUAGGGGCAGAGGGAAUUUCCGGUGGAGCGGUGAAAUGCGUAGAGAUCGGAAGGAACACCAGUGGCGAAGGCGGGUCUCUGGGCCGAUACUGACGCUGAGGAGCGAAAGCGUGGGGAGCGAACAGG